This is a long non-coding RNA of Aethalodelphis obliquidens (Pacific white-sided dolphin), 4445 nucleotides long. RefSeq lists it as uncharacterized. NCBI's taxonomy places the organism in Eukaryota, Metazoa, Chordata, Mammalia, Artiodactyla, Delphinidae. The transcript has 5 exons. The record is from RefSeq and is a predicted model, not a curated record.
GGGGCCGCUCUCCUCCACGGCAGCUUUCCGUCCUCAGAGCUUCUAAGGGAGCCUUACUGUGUAUUUAAGUGCCGCGCUUCCCGCCACUCCUCGGAACAAGGAGCAGGUUAGCGAGUCUCCACGUUCACAGGCGCCCAACUGUCCGUUGGGGUGGGCCGGCGAGCUUGUUGCGGGGUAUCACCACCAGUUCACAGGAGUUCACGGGACUCCAGUGAGCUCCAGCGCCGACCUGCAUGGAGCUGCCCCGCCGUGCACAGAAGACAGCCCAGGGCGAGGGGAAAGCUCUGCUUUCGCAUACGCACAGCUUAGAGCCUAAAAUGGAACCAGGCCAAAAACUCAGCGGAAAGCUCUGUAGGGACCAUUAGUGAGCGACUCAGAAGCGCCCCCUCGCCUCCACCAACCAAAGGGACUGUCGGGGCCAGACAGCAGGGGACACUCAGAGGCUGGGGAUGACAGGUUGGAAUUGCAAGAAAUGCGACAAGGGUGAGAAACUGGCUCUCAUUUUGAAGCCCGGUACCGGGGGAUCCGGGAUGAGGAAUAUAAACAGGUUCUCGGAGAAGAGGGGCAUCUUGUACUUCAGUUCCCCAAAACUGGUCCUCUGGGGUGUCGAGAGGCCGGGCGGCCAGGGAGAAAACGCAGCCUGCGUCCAUCGGCUUGGAUCCGAACGGUACACAAAGUCAAGCCUCCACCCAGGUCUGACGCGGACUCCGCGGGCCCGGGGGGUGUGGUCUUGUCGCCACAGGGUUGGGGAAUUAUGCAAACCUGGCCCUUUCUUCAGCGAGUUGCUCCGCUCGGCCACGUGGACUUGACCGCGCCGAGAGGCCAGGGAAUCCCGCCGCCCUGCGCUGACCUGGGCUGCGGGGGUCGGCGCCCUGGGCCGCCCGCAGAUAAGGGCUUGACUUUUAUUCCUGCGCUCCAAGGACACGUGCCCGAGGCAGCUCCGGGCCUCAGCGAAAUCUGCCCUCGGGUUCUCCUGUGGGCUUCAUCCCUUCCUAGGACCCAAGACCCGGGCCUGCGCAGGAAUGUGCGCGGCGACCUUGCUUUUUCUGCCUACUCCUGGACUCCCCAUCUCACCCCGCAUCCAGAAAUUGUGGGAAACGCGCGACUGACUGUACAGAGGCCGUAGAGGCCCCGGGCCCUGCGCUGCCAACCCCGGGGACCGCCCUGGCCGCAGAUUCGCUCCUGUGGGUUUCGGGGCAGAGACUCAGGAGCAGCGCUCAUCAGACGGGGAUCCGCCCAGCAGCAGAAAGGUAAACGCUUGAAAACCCGCGAGAGGAGCCGGGUCCUGCGAGUGAGGAUUCAUUCUGUGGCCUGGAGUAGGGUUGCAGGUUAAGAGCCCGGAAGGAGAAAGGCGCACUUGCCUGUGGAUCUCCGGCACAAGGAUACUGGAUAGUUUACAGGAUCAACAGGAAGGCUGAAGAAUCGAGGAAAAUCAUUUCAGGAAACACCACAAGGUCACACGCAGGAAAGCCUGGCUCUGUAUAUGAGGAAGAUGUGGCUGCCCCCAGGAACAGAGAAGAAAAUGCUAGUUUUUCUACCAAUAUCCAUGAUCCCGUUCUUUCUUCAGCACACCUGAGUUUUAUAGCGGGCGCAUGGUCACACAGCUGAAGAUUAUACUUCCCAACAUCCUUGCAGCUAAGAUACCCUCAACGGCUUCCGCUGACUCUGGGAAAUGUGCCCCAAGCUUUGAAGAACGGCCCUCACCCCCCUCAGAGUCCAGGACAGAAGGGGAAGGGGCUCUAAAUGCAUCUGACUCUGACACAUUCCCUGGGUCAGAAUUUCUUUCCAGGACACCCUGGAGUCAGGUGCCCUUCCUCUGCUUGAGGCCUUCCCUGAAGUGAUCCAUCGGGCCCCAGUUUAGCUUCUCGCCAAGGCCUGCAAAUUACUGAGACUGUGAUGCCCCAAACUUGUGGGAUCCUCCCUCGGCACCAUCCCCGUAUUCGGAGGCUUGACCCAGAGGUCUCAUUCCCUCCCGGCUCUCACCCUCAGCGUUCAAUCCGGAGCCCGUCUGGAGGGAAGGGAAGACCUGAAGAGGCCGAGGGCACCUGCUACCAGCUGCGCAAGCGUUAAUCCCACCCAGCCGUCCAGAGAUCGAGAUCCGAUGAGGGGCGAUAGAAACUGUCACGCGCUGGCAGCCUCACGAAGUGCGGAACGCGGUCUGGCCUGGCGGACUGGAACUCCUAGGUGAGACCCAGACCCGCCGGCUUCCUCCCCUAAAGUAGCGGGUGGCGGGGAGAGGUUGCGUUCUCGUUAUGGGGACAUAGAAAUGUGGGUUCAGAGACUGAAGUGAGCCGGGACUGGGACCCGGAGAGGUGGUGCUUCCCCUGCGGUCCACGCUUACCCGCCUUGCUCCAGAGGCCUUAACAACGUCCCCAGAGGUUGCCAACCUCCUGGAAUGGGGUAGGUGGGCUUGAAAGGACGCUGAAUCUCCCUUUGGGCCUGCAGAGUCCCCUCAACAAUCCGGGCCCUAGCUCCCUGUCCCUAGCAGUGCCAGCGCGGCGGGAGGUCCAAGGUCAGCGCGCUGAGACACGGGAAAGUGAGGGCCUGCCGAGUGGGUGGCCUGGGGCAAAAUGAAUCCAGGGUUCUGGGAGAAAUUGGGAGAAGUGGAGGUUUGAAUGACCGCCGCCCCAAGGUGCCCGUUUUCCAAGCUUCGGCACCACUUGCUGCCAGGCCUCGGUGGGGGCGGGGGGGCGGAUAGAGCCCGCCCCUGAGAGUCCCCUCCCCCUCCCCGAGGCCGGAGGUAUUACUGCUGCUUGAUCAGACCUCAUUUCCUGCGAAAAUGGAGACAUAUCCAGGGUCCUUAAUAAAGUGAAUGACGAGGCUUCGGCUGUAAUUGGGCUUCCGGUUGGUGGCUAUUUCCUUAAACUGACAGUGGAAACAAUGUAAAGCCACAGCGCCCAAAUAUAAUUAUAUGAUUAUCAGAAAGAGGUGCAGGAUGGAUUUGCCCAGACCCGGAGGCAAUCACCUGAGAAAUGGGCACAAACGCUUACCCAGACCAAGGGACCCAGGAACCCCGGACCUCCACACCGACCCCACAUCCAAGCGGGCGCCUCAGCAAGCUUUGGCUUCUCCUCCCAUCCUGAGCCCCGCUCUGCCGCUGCCAUAGGGAAACGCAGGGCCUUUAUACGCUGGGGCGUGGGUGGGUCUUCUCCUUCUGAGAGGAGGAGGGUCCUCCAGUGCCGGGGGCGGGGGGCGGCCUGGCUGAGAGUCCCCGGACCGGUGCCCCGGACCGCGUACGCCGGCUGCAUAUUUCUAUGCAUAAUCCGAUUUUCUCCAUGACUAUUUAGUUAAACUCUUUUAACAACAGCUACAUAAUUAGAAUUUGGAUUCCCAUUAAUUUUCCCUGGGCCUCGAACCAUUUGCAGCUCACACUGGUAAUUAAUGCGAUACAUCACUAACUUUACCCAGCGCCGGCCAGCCGGGCUCAGAUCGCUCGGCCCGCGCCUGGCACCCCUGUGCGGGUCCCUGACACUGGACCCGGCUUUCCGAGUGGGGGCCGUUUUCCUCCCUCCAAAGCCAAAUGCCUCGGCCCGCGCAACCAAAGCCUUCUUUCCAGGAAAUUUCACAAUUAAAAAUAUUUAUCGGGAGCAGAUUUACGUUUCUGGGUUUCCAGUCUCGGGGCGUCUGGGUAGGCUAUUAAGAGUAAUUAGCAUCUUUUGCGCGUGCAGAUUUACUUCGCUCAUUGCCACAUCACUCAUCCCUAAAAGCCAGCGCAGGCGAAAACAGGCGCCGCCGCCAAAGCCGCUGCGAGAGCUACCGCCCCCGUCUGGGUCUGACUAGGGCUCCCCCGGCCCUGAGCCCCCGUACGCUGCCCGCUCCUAGUUAAUCUGGCCGAACUGCUUGCUCCAGGCCCAGGAGGCUGCGCGCCAAGCGAAAAGGUUCCCACCCUGGAGACGACUGAUGCAAGGUCGACCUCAGGCGGCGGGGGAGAAGGCCCAAGCCAGGCUCUCCCCGCUGCCUGAGCCCACGGUCUGGACCCGAGGCUUCGCGACAGUGCACUUGUGUGCGCGAGCGAGUAGGCGUGUCUGUAUAUGCAAGAUCUCGUGCGCGCAAGUGCACGUGCAUGUGGUUGUUAGUGCGUGUUCCUGAAAAUGCACGAGGCGCGCGUGGAAAACGAGCGCCUCAGCCCCCACAUUCAACAAUCCCUUCCCAGGACCGCAGCUCAAAUGCCAGUCCUAGGCCACUCAGCUAGGGCACUGAGGUUCAGAGGGAAACUCGGACCCCUACCUUGCCUUGAUUUCCUUUCUACAGAGCCGGCCCCAGCCAGCCUGAGGGCCUGGAACGCGCAGGGCGAGAGGGAAACUGGGAGGCCUGACGCCCGCUCACAUCCGAGCGCAGGUUGCCUGGUGCUGGUGAGAGGCCGCCAGAGAGAGGGCAGGCGGAGCAGGGAGUCACUGAACAGCGGCUGGCAGGACCGCUGGGGGCGGCCGGAGAGGUUGGGACCA